Molecule: non-coding RNA, 1092 nt
Organism: Delphinapterus leucas (beluga whale)
Lineage: Eukaryota; Metazoa; Chordata; Mammalia; Artiodactyla; Monodontidae
Source: RefSeq, a predicted model, not a curated record
UAAACUUAACCUGGGACUGCAAAAUUCUGGGGAGUAACUGACAAGAUAAAGAAAGCUCCAGAACCCUGGGCAAUAUUCCUACCCCAACAGUCAUCUGGAAUAAAGGAAUAUUGGAAGCUGUACACCCAUGACGUCUUAGAGGUUUGCAAGAGGACUGUAUUCAGCCAAAUAUCUGAGCAUCAUUAACAGACCACCUACAGAGGAUCAGUGUGCCCUGCGUUGAAAAGCCAGCUGCAGUGAGACACUUUUGAAUGAAGAAGCAUCUGGAAAUUGAGGAUAUCAGAGAAGCCACCUACUGAUGUAGAGAGGAGAUCAGCUAUACCUGAGGAAACAGAACCUACAAAUAAUGACUCUCUGUAGGAGCUUCAAGUCCACCAGAAUUUUCAUGAGCUAACCUGACUACAAGAUGAUGCCCAUACUGUAUCUGCUGGAGGUAGCCUGAUCAAAAACAUUGUAAUUAUGGAGACGAUUCUUCUUUUUAUCUCCUGUAACACCUGUACCUCUCCUCUGUCUAACCAUUAAAGGGAGCAGUUACCCACAAAUGUACUAUAUGCAUGUCCCAAUGGUAAAGAGUACACAGACAACUUAGAGGCAGGAUUGAAUACACAAGAAGAGUGGUUCUUGGUGUUCUGAGGGGCACUUCGCCUACUCAUGUGUGCUGCACAUCUUCCACCCCCAAAAUGAGACCUAUGUGGAAAAGGGCGACAUUGAGCAAAGGGCAUAGAUGGAAACUCACUCUCCCUACAACACAUCCUCAGCUAUUUUGAGCUCCAAAGUUUAAAGAGAGAAAGAAGACUUGCUUCAGAUGGCUGGCACCACUGUCACCAUCCCCAUCUCAGAUUCAGAGAAAGGUGUACAAGAAGGAGAAAAGCAGGUGGUUUUCCAUGGGAAGCAAGGGCUAAGGAUGGGAACCUGAUCAUCCAACAAAAGAUCCUGAUCUUUAAAGAGGCCAUUCUACCUUAGCCCAACUGAGAUAAUGAUAUGAAUGUCCAGAGAUGAAUGCCAUGUUUAUAAUGAAAUUGAAUAACAUCAUCACUCCAAGAAGAACCCCAUACCUAUGUGCAUUCACCCUGUAUUUCUCCUUUUCUUCAG